RNAcentral lists this ribosomal RNA (480 nucleotides) under uncultured bacterium. RNAcentral's name for it is "bacterial SSU rRNA". It matches the Rfam family "Bacterial small subunit ribosomal RNA", at positions 240 to 737 of the family's 1533-position model. The record is from RNAcentral.
AUUAGCUAGUUGGUGGGGUAAAGGCCUACCAAGGCGACGAUCCAUAGCUGGUCUGAGAGGAUGAUCAGCCACAUUGGGACUGAGACACGGCCCAAACUCCUACGGGAGGCAGCAGUGGGGAAUAUUGGACAAUGGGCGCAAGCCUGAUCCAGCCAUGCCGCGUGAGUGAUGAAGGCCCUAGGGUUGUAAAGCUCUUUCACCGGAGAAGAUAAUGACGGUAUCCGGAGAAGAAGCCCCGGCUAACUUCGUGCCAGCAGCCGCGGUAAUACGAAGGGGGCUAGCGUUGUUCGGAAUUACUGGGCGUAAAGCGCACGUAGGCGGAUCGAUCAGUCAGGGGUGAAAUCCCAGGGCUCAACCCUGGAACUGCCUUUGAUACUGUCGAUCUGGAGUAUGGAAGAGGUGAGUGGAAUUCCGAGUGUAGAGGUGAAAUUCGUAGAUAUUCGGAGGAACACCAGUGGCGAAGGCGGCUCACUGGUCCAU